UGACCGGACCUGGUGACCGGAGUCCAUGAACUCCGCCAGGGCCGGAAGGCAGCAACGGUAGUGGUCCCUUCGGGGUACCGGGUCUCGGUCAUCG
Molecule: signal recognition particle RNA, 94 nt
Filed under: Myxococcales bacterium
Lineage: Bacteria; Pseudomonadati; Myxococcota; Myxococcia; Myxococcales
Description: signal recognition particle sRNA small type
Rfam family: Bacterial small signal recognition particle RNA
About the family: The signal recognition particle (SRP) is a universally conserved ribonucleoprotein involved in the co-translational targeting of proteins to membranes. Archaeal SRP consists of a 7S RNA and homologues of the eukaryotic SRP19 and SRP54 proteins.
Source: RNAcentral